RNAcentral lists this ribosomal RNA (253 nucleotides) under uncultured bacterium. RNAcentral describes it as "partial 16S ribosomal RNA". It matches the Rfam family "Bacterial small subunit ribosomal RNA", at positions 524 to 776 of the family's 1533-position model. The record is from RNAcentral.
UACGUAGGGGGCAAGCGUUGUCCGGAUUUAUUGGGCGUAAAGAGCGUGUAGGCGGUUUGGUAGGUCCGUUGUGAAAACUCGAGGCUCAACCUCGAGACGCCGAUGGAAACCAUCAGACUAGAGUCCGGAAGAGGAGAGUGGAAUUCCUGGUGUAGCGGUGAAAUGCGCAGAUAUCAGGAGGAACACCGGUGGUGUAGACGGCUUUCUGGACCGUAACUGACGCUGAGACACGAAAGCGUGGGUAGCAAACAGG